Molecule: ribosomal RNA, 1623 nt
Filed under: Salmonella enterica subsp. enterica serovar Senftenberg
Lineage: Bacteria; Pseudomonadati; Pseudomonadota; Gammaproteobacteria; Enterobacterales; Enterobacteriaceae
Description: partial 23S ribosomal RNA
Rfam family: Bacterial large subunit ribosomal RNA
Source: RNAcentral
CGAAGCUGCGGCAGCGACACUGUGUGUUGUUGGGUAGGGGAGCGUUCUGUAAGCCUGUGAAGGUGGCCUGUGAGGGUUGCUGGAGGUAUCAGAAGUGCGAAUGCUGACAUAAGUAACGAUAAAGCGGGUGAAAAGCCCGCUCGCCGGAAGACCAAGGGUUCCUGUCCAACGUUAAUCGGGGCAGGGUGAGUCGACCCCUAAGGCGAGGCCGAAAGGCGUAGUCGAUGGGAAACGGGUUAAUAUUCCCGUACUUGGUGUUACUGCGAAGGGGGGACGGAGAAGGCUAUGUUGGCCGGGCGACGGUUGUCCCGGUUUAAGCGUGUAGGCUGGUUUUCCAGGCAAAUCCGGAAAAUCAAGGCUGAGGCGUGACGACGAGGCACUACGGUGCUGAAGCAACAAAUGCCCUGCUUCCAGGAAAAGCCUCUAAGCAUCAGGUAACACGAAAUCGUACCCCAAACCGACACAGGUGGUCAGGUAGAGAAUACCAAGGCGCUUGAGAGAACUCGGGUGAAGGAACUAGGCAAAAUGGUGCCGUAACUUCGGGAGAAGGCACGCUGACACGUAGGUGAAGUGAUUUACUCAUGGAGCUGAAGUCAGUCGAAGAUACCAGCUGGCUGCAACUGUUUAUUAAAAACACAGCACUGUGCAAACACGAAAGUGGACGUAUACGGUGUGACGCCUGCCCGGUGCCGGAAGGUUAAUUGAUGGGGUCAGCGCAAGCGAAGCUCCUGAUCGAAGCCCCGGUAAACGGCGGCCGUAACUAUAACGGUCCUAAGGUAGCGAAAUUCCUUGUCGGGUAAGUUCCGACCUGCACGAAUGGCGUAAUGAUGGCCAGGCUGUCUCCACCCGAGACUCAGUGAAAUUGAACUCGCUGUGAAGAUGCAGUGUACCCGCGGCAAGACGGAAAGACCCCGUGAACCUUUACUAUAGCUUGACACUGAACAUUGAGCCUUGAUGUGUAGGAUAGGUGGGAGGCUUUGAAGUGUGGACGCCAGUCUGCAUGGAGCCGACCUUGAAAUACCACCCUUUAAUGUUUGAUGUUCUAACGUGGACCCGUAAUCCGGGUUGCGGACAGUGUCUGGUGGGUAGUUUGACUGGGGCGGUCUCCUCCUAAAGAGUAACGGAGGAGCACGAAGGUUGGCUAAUCCUGGUCGGACAUCAGGAGGUUAGUGCAAUGGCAUAAGCCAGCUUGACUGCGAGCGUGACGGCGCGAGCAGGUGCGAAAGCAGGUCAUAGUGAUCCGGUGGUUCUGAAUGGAAGGGCCAUCGCUCAACGGAUAAAAGGUACUCCGGGGAUAACAGGCUGAUACCGCCCAAGAGUUCAUAUCGACGGCGGUGUUUGGCACCUCGAUGUCGGCUCAUCACAUCCUGGGGCUGAAGUAGGUCCCAAGGGUAUGGCUGUUCGCCAUUUAAAGUGGUACGCGAGCUGGGUUUAGAACGUCGUGAGACAGUUCGGUCCCUAUCUGCCGUGGGCGCUGGAGAACUGAGGGGGGCUGCUCCUAGUACGAGAGGACCGGAGUGGACGCAUCACUGGUGUUCGGGUUGUCAUGCCAAUGGCACUGCCCGGUAGCUAAAUGCGGAAGAGAUAAGUGCUGAAAGCAUCUAAGCACGAAACUUGCCCCGA